GGAGCUGUGCCUGAAGUAAAGGGCCACUUUGAUAGAGUGAACAACGGGGGUUAGAGUCCCCCCAGCUCCU
RNAcentral lists this transfer RNA (70 nucleotides) under Pungitius tymensis (Sakhalin sticlkeback). RNAcentral describes it as "tRNA-Ile". It matches the Rfam family "tRNA". From Rfam's summary of the family: Transfer RNA (tRNA) molecules are approximately 80 nucleotides in length. Their secondary structure includes four short double-helical elements and three loops (D, anti-codon, and T loops). The record is from RNAcentral. Lineage: Eukaryota; Metazoa; Chordata; Actinopteri; Perciformes; Gasterosteidae.